AUGAGGCCAAACACACAGGAAUUACACAUUUCCCUGAGGAAAGAACUGUUCUUUAAUGUCCCAGCCAAUACCUCGCAUAAUGGGGAACACAGCCCAAGAAAAACACAAGUCAUAAGGCUAGAACUGGGAAGGUGUGACUCAUGGGUCAGCUGCUUCCCUUUCAGCAUCAUCGCCUUCACAGGUGGAGGCAGUCUCACAGGUGUGCACCGGCUUGUCACCCGGCCGGCAAAACCCAAGACGGAGCUCGUCUCAAGGAGCAGACCCACGGUCUUCAUCUUUGGGGACCUCUGGUCAGGAACAGGGAUGUAUGCACACACCGUUUCCAAACUAGAACUGUUCAACGUGUUGAAUGAGCCUACGAAAUGCGAUAGUAAAGUCUGCCACCACUUGAAGAAAAGCACUAAUAGUCUACAUGCAGCCAAACGCGCUGGCGCGCACAUUCUGUGCAUAUCAAGAGCUCUUUGACCAUAGAGACUAAUUAUCCUCGACGAGAAAUUCGGCACAAAUCAACUUGCUCGCGGACUCUGCCCCUACUUGUCAAGAGCCCUGGGGUGGCGGCGACGCAGGAGCCUCGGAGGCUCGGGACUGCCCCACUCUCCCCGCCGCCUGUGUCCGCGCGGCGGGGCG
RNAcentral lists this long non-coding RNA (627 nucleotides) under Ovis aries (sheep). RNAcentral's name for it is "lncRNA (ENSOARG00000026470.1)". The record is from RNAcentral. Lineage: Eukaryota; Metazoa; Chordata; Mammalia; Artiodactyla; Bovidae.